RNAcentral lists this long non-coding RNA (2645 nucleotides) under Rattus norvegicus (Norway rat). RNAcentral describes it as "long non-coding RNA NONRATT026259". Lineage: Eukaryota; Metazoa; Chordata; Mammalia; Rodentia; Muridae. The record is from RNAcentral.
GGAUUGACAACCAGCCUAUCUGCAGGAUGUCUCGGGUCUGGCCAAUCCUGAUGGAAACUGGUGUGAUCAGAAUUCUGUACCAUCCACAUUGGAAUAUACAUGGAAUAGUGUAAAACCUACGUGAGCAGAUGAAAUAGAAGCAUUAAAUAUUUUUAUCUAUAUCCAAAAAGGAGCACAUUUUUAUAUUUACAGAACCAUUUAAGCUGGUUUGAAUAACGACGACAAAGUUUGAGCACACCUAUCCCCCAGCUUCGGAGGGGCCACCAGUAUCUAGCUGUGGAUUGUGUGUUUUGUUUAGAAUCAGUAGCUUGGUUUUCUUACUUGAGCCAAUAUAUUUUCACUUAUUUAUUAUCAUAAAAAUUUACCAGUCUGAAUAGAUCUUGUAAAUAUUUGUGAAUAGAAUGAACACCGUUCAUACCACUGCAGCCACUGGAAAUCAUUCUGUGGUGUCCUGGAAGCAUUAUCGGUAGGCUCUAAAGUUUUCUAGACUUUGCUGUCACCUGUAAUUGUGAUGUAUUCUAGGCAGUGGUGGACACUCUUACAUUUGUGUAAAUACUUCUGCAGAGGUACUGAUGCUGUAAAGUCAACAGUUUUGUGGAACUGUGAUUUUUUUUUCCCCCUCCUUUUUUUGGUUUCCUUGGAUCCCACUCCCUUGGGUGGGGUUUUUUUGGGUUUUUUUGUUUGUUUUGUUUUGUAUUAUACACCUUGUAGAACUCAUUUUGCUGGCUGAAAGAGUAUGGAAUAAUAUAUCUCAUGUCAUUUUUGUAGAAGAAAAACUAUUUGAAUUUUUUUUUGUUUGGUUUUCCCUCCCAUGUAUCCACUGUAAGCAUUUGUCAUGUGCAAGCUCAGAGCUUGUGCAGAAUUUUUUGUAUUUGUAAAUUGGUUUAAAUACAUGGAAUUUUAUACAGGUUUUCUCCUGUGUUAUAUAUGCAUUAUGUGCAGGUAUGAUAUUUUCUUCACUACUUUUUCUAUCUUAAUAUAGUGUGGAAUUUUAUUGUAUUAUUCUUCCAUUCUUAAUACUGUACCACAUUCCUGCUCAAAAACUGCUCACUUCCUUAAAUUGUCUUUUUUCCCCCUAAGCGUGAAAUGUAUCCACUUAUAACUGCCUAUUGCCUGUUCUAUUAGCAUCCAAAAAUGUGGAAGGCCUCCCAACAACCAUUUCUGCUGUGUCCUUAGGAUGUGCAGUAAAAAAUAUAGACCUGACAGUUUAUGUUAUAGAAUGGCUUUAUUUACUUUGGUGACUGUUUAUAGUUUUUAAAUAAAAGACUGAACAUUUUCUUGAGUCCUUUAUUUCUGAGUAUGCUUAAGACAUUGUAAAAUUUAAAGUCUAGCUGAAGGCAAAGUCAAACGGUCACCUCCUUUAUACUUUGUGAUAAUAUUGUAGAGAGCAGAAAGGUGCAUCAGAUGACAUACACCAUGGUCAUGGCAGGAAAACCAAACUUUUUGUUUACGAUAUUUAGGAGCAGUAAGCCCAGUGAGAGACAGUUCAGAGCUCAGCUGCCUUACCCUUGUGUCAGCAUCUGACUGAAGCUUUUCUUUACCAUUUGACUGUAGGUUGAAUUCAGAGGCAGAUUUUUUAAUGAGCUUCAGUCUGGACAUACAUUUUCAGCAUCUUGAUUCACUAAUUAUUACCUGAAGUAAUUUCUCCCCAAGGGGCCUCUGCCUGUGUACUCGGCUCUAUCUGUAAAACGAUGUGUGGAAACACCCAAAACUCGGUAUUCUCAGGUUGUUGGCAUUGACUUCUUCACCUUAGACUGGGGCUGCCCAGCAGACAGCCUGGGUCCAGAUACCUUAUUAUAUCCCGCAAAUAUUUCCAGACUAAAGGUUCCUAAGGGCAGAUGGUGGCAGACAUUUAUAUUCACUGUGUUUAUCUAAAAAAUUUGAGGCUUUCUGAAAUAAUUUUUGUAACAUCACUGUUUGCUUCUCUUCAAGGUACCUUUUACCUUUCAAAGCAGGAAAUUACCACGGUGGUUAACUUUUAGUAGCAGAAACAACAGGCUUAAAGUGAUUUCCACAGUCACCAUCUUGUCACCUCACUGAAUUGCAUCCUGUAGUUGUAGGUUUUGUGUUAAAAUGUAUAAAUGUGUCUUUAGUGCUUUUAAGCAAUGGUCUCAGCAGAAUUUUCUCAAUGUACUUGACCUGAGGAAACCAAUUUCUAGCUUCCCUCUUAGGCUUUCCCUCCGACAGCUUUACCUGACUAGCGGACUAACACGGACUUGGUGGGUGACGCAGCUGAAGUGCCCUUGAGUCCAGGUCCUGCAGAACCCUCAGUCAUGAAAAGGUGCUCCGUGCUAGACAGAAACUUGCUGACUUCCAGUAUUGUUAUUUUUGUCUAAAGUUGUGUAAAUACAAGCUUUGAUGUUAUCUUUGAGAAAUCUAUGUAAAUAAUAGUCAACAACAUAGACUGUACAAUUCUGUGUUAUAUAUGUGCCUAGUGCUCUGUUGGCACUUAAUAAAUUUUAAGUAACAAAACUGAUGAUCAUAUAGUGAAGGCAUAUUUUUCUUCCGACUUGACAGGAUAUGACUAUAUAUUAAUGAGACUCAAUAAACCAAGCCACACAUGAAAACUUGUCUCAUUACUUUAUAGCCAUGCCAUGUAUGUUUUUUAAACCAUAAAUGACAAUAAAAGUGAUUUUUGAAAUGAG